Sardina pilchardus (European sardine) is the source of this 712-nucleotide long non-coding RNA. RefSeq lists it as uncharacterized. The record is from RefSeq and is a predicted model, not a curated record. Lineage: Eukaryota; Metazoa; Chordata; Actinopteri; Clupeiformes; Clupeidae. The transcript is spliced from 3 exons.
GCAGUCUGAACAGUUGCUCAACUAUAGGUUGGAACUUGUAUCCCACAAACUGAGAUGCGUGUUGGAUCACCUCCUGCACUACUAAUGGCUCCGCACCUGUUUACAUCUAAUGCGUGUGAUGUCUGUAGCGAUUGGACCACUGCUCCCACUGCUGCUUCUAUGGAUGUGCACUUUUUUCCCAGUUCCUCUAUGUAGACCUCUCGCUGGUUUCCCAAGCUUUCCACAAUCCUCAGUGUGUGUGUGCACUCUGGCAUCUACAUGGGCCCACGCCCCACAACAGAAACAAGCACAGAUGAGUGUUAGGUGAGACAACCCGUCCCAGGCUACCCACCAGCCCCAACAGUACAGUUCUCCCUAAAUAUAAGCAAAAACUGCUUACCUUGGGCCCGUUGGAGAACUGAACUGCCGGAACCUGCUUCACCCGGGGCGGAACUGCUCUCCUGGUUGUCUUUCCUCAAAUCUCGGUAGGAACCUCCAGAUCUGUGGUGGAAAAUUCCACGCUCCUGGACUUCUCAACAAUUAGCACUCUGGAACCAAUUAACUCUUGUAAAGAAACCAAUUAUCACUCUGGACCAAGCAUCCGAAGAAGACCACGUAGACAGAGACUUCCCAACACUGAAGAUCUUUAUUCACUGUAUCACAAUGAUAUUACAAUCCAAACAAUGUCUGAACUGCACUACCAAGCAAUAGAGUGAAGGCGGCGCUACCAGCU